Molecule: transfer RNA, 74 nt
Filed under: Candidatus Methanomethylophilus alvi Mx1201
Lineage: Archaea; Methanobacteriati; Thermoplasmatota; Thermoplasmata; Methanomassiliicoccales; Methanomethylophilaceae
Description: Candidatus Methanomethylophilus alvus Mx1201 tRNA
Rfam family: tRNA
About the family: Transfer RNA (tRNA) molecules are approximately 80 nucleotides in length.
Source: Rfam by way of RNAcentral
GCCACUUUGGCGCAGUCCGGUAGCGCUCCCGCCUUGUAAGCGGAUGGUCGGGGGUUCGAUUCCCUCAAGUGGCU